Molecule: ribosomal RNA, 253 nt
Filed under: uncultured bacterium
Lineage: Bacteria
Description: partial 16S ribosomal RNA
Rfam family: Bacterial small subunit ribosomal RNA
Source: RNAcentral
UACGAAGGGGGCUAGCGUUGUUCGGAAUUACUGGGCGUAAAGCGUGCGCAGGCGGCUUCUCAAGUCAGGGGUGAAAGCCCAGAGCUCAACUCUGGAAUUGCCUUUGAGACUGAGUGGCUUGAGUACGAGAGAGGUGAGUGGAAUUCCCAGUGUAGAGGUGAAAUUCGUAGAUAUUCGCAAGAACACCAGCGGCGAAGGCGGCUCACUGGCCCGGUACUGACGCUGAGAUGCGAAAGCGUGGGGAGCAGACAGG